UCGUGAUGUCAGUAUAGAAAUGCUAAAUUCUACAAGGAAGAAACAGUUGCUAUCUCUGUUACCAAGUCAAAUAAAAAGAAUGUGUAAUUAAAUAUCUUACAGUAGGCAUGUAAAUUCCAAGAGUGAAUUAAGAAGCUUUGGAGCCAAACAAGCCCCCUCCUACAUUGAACAAUUUAUGAUGAAAAACAUAAAAAGAGAAUUUGGGGUAUGUAACAAUGCUAAAAGUUCCACGCACAUAUUGGUGGUGAGUGUACUAGGAACAGGGAUAAAGGAGCAGUACACUUAUUUUUAACAAAAAGUAUAUAUAUAUAUAUAUAUAUAUAUAUAUAUAUAUAUAUAUAUAUAUAUAUAUAUAUAUAUAUAUAUAUAUAUAUAUAUAUAUAUAUAUAUAUAUAUAUAUAUAUAUAUAUAUAUAUAUAUAUAUAUAUAUAUAUAUACAGCAGCUUGUUUGCUCUUCCUCAGAUAAAUUUGUAUCACAUCACACAAGCAGAAACCUUC
This 498-nucleotide long non-coding RNA is filed under the name Nicotiana tabacum (common tobacco). RNAcentral's name for it is "long non-coding RNA (NTAB_LNC003350)". The record is from RNAcentral. Lineage: Eukaryota; Viridiplantae; Streptophyta; Magnoliopsida; Solanales; Solanaceae.